AUUCUCCAUCCCUGCAUUCCUCCAUCGCAGCAUCCCUGCAUGCCUCCGUUCUCUGCAUCCCUCCACCCCAGUAUCCCUGCACCUCUUCAUCCCUCCAUUCCUGCAUCCCUCUAUUUUUCCAUCCCUCCAUUCCUGUAUCCCUGUGCCCUCCAUCCUCCAUCCCAGCAUCCCUCCAUCCCUGCUCCCCACUCUCACUUCCCUUCCCUUCACAGACAGGCUUUUCCUGCCAUCCUCAGACCCCACCCAGGGUUACCUGAUGCCUUUCCAGCUGCACACGGGGACUGACUCACCUCUCUCUUUCUCAGUCCCAAAGUCCCGAAAGAGAGCAUCUGAUGUGGUCAGCUUGUGACAAGGCGUCCACCUUCUGUCCAUGACAUGGAGGCCAGGGGAAGGUCUCACUGCCCAGCACCCCACCCUGUGCUCCCAGGCCUUUUGAAUGUUCCUCCUGCUCAGCCCAGUGACUGCGGGCUGUGGCUCCUCCUCCAGCCUCCCCUCGAGGUCCUGGUCUUACUUAGGAGGCCCCGGGUGUAGAUGCCUUCCCACCCACCAGGCAUUGCCCCUUUUCCUGGCUUCACAGACUCGGGAAUAAAGUUUCCUUCUGUUUCCCCUCUUGCAGAAGGAGAUCCGGUUGGCAGCUAAACCGCGCUGGGAACAGGGGCCUGAGUCCUGGACUAGGGCUCUUUCCCCGGGGCUGCUGCAGAUGGGGAGGAGCCUACACCCGCCUCCCGAGUGCUAAUCAGACCUGACAGGCUGGAGAAUGGCCAGUCAGCCUGAGGCCACCGCGGGACACCACCUAGGCCCAGCUUCUCCCCCCACCAGAGGGCGCCAGAGCCCGCCAAGCCUCGUAGGAGAUGGCAACAGGGCCUGCUGCUGCCACCUAGCGGCCAAUUCCGGGAAUGAAUCUCGGCACGCUCAUUACCCAGCGACUCUGCCCAUCUUGACCCUUUAUGUGAAGCAGAACAGCCGCUUCCGCAGUGAGCUGUCAGAAGGCGUCGUGCCUGUCUUGCUAGUGGGGAAACUGAGGCUCAGAGAGGCAGAAGACUUGCCCAAGAUCACACCACCGGGACCCAGGAUUCAAGCGCAGGCCUGCCCAGGCUCUCUGUGGCCUCCUGGCUGCGAGGAGGCAGCCAGGGACCAGGUGCCACCCUUCUGAGACACCUGAGAUCCCAGGCCCGAGAGGAUGAAGGCGGGAUUACCUGGAGCGUGUCUGAAUGCUGGAGGAAGAAGGGCAGCUGGGAGAUGAAGCUGUCAGGAUGGGCCGCAUCCCAUUUCCUGCCUCGUUUCAGUUCAACUUUCCAACAGACCUCCCUGGCUCGUCUUGCUCUUCUCUAAUGGACAAACAAACAGGCUCAGAGAGGUGGUGUGACUUGCCCAAGGUCACUCAGCUUGGAUGCUAUGGAACAGGGACGUCCACUGUCCCAGUCUGUUUAUGGGAAGCCGCUCUGCAACUGUCCUGACCCACCACAUGCCCCACCGCUGUUUCUCUUGCCCUGACCCCUUGUUCCCUGGACCAGGGUGGCACAGCUCCAGGCUCUUGGGCCCUUCCCGAGGGCAGGCACCUGUGACUGUGUCCCCAAAGACCUGAGUGGCUGAGGGGGCCCCACAGAGCUUGGACUUCCUGGAGGACAAGGAGGGGUCUGCCAGCCACCCCCACCACGCCCGCCCCAGGGCUCCCCUGGAGCUUCCAUGCCAGCCGGACUCAGGUGGGUCUGGAGGAGCACCGUGCCUCCAAUCAGACCUUGAGAUGUGCCCCCUGCCCCCACUGUGCCCUCCCCUGCCCAGGAGUCUGGUUGCAAACCCUGAUUAAGGGGAUUUUAUCUCCACCAGAGGGCCAGUAGGUGGGAAGUAGCUUAAACAAUGCAGGUUUAUAAUCUCACAGUUCUGGAGGUCAAGAGUCUGAAAUGGGCCUCAUGGGGCUAAAACCAAGGUGUCUGCAGGGCUGUGUUCCUUCUGGAGGCUCCAGGGCAGGAAGGGGAGGAUCCACUUCUGUGCCUUUCCAGCUUCUAGAGGCUGCCUGCGUUCCUUGGCUCGUGGCCCCUUCCUCCACCUUCAAGCCAGCAGCGGAGGCCUGAGUCCUUCUCAUGCCAUCUCUCUGUUCUCUCUCCUGCCUCCUCCUCCACACUGAAGGACCCCUGUGAUCACACUGGCCCCCCCACCGGAUGACCCAGGAUAAUCCAUCUCCCUGUUUGAAGGUCGGCUGAUUAGCAACCUUCAUUCCAUCUGCCUCCUUCAUUCCCCCUGGCCAUGUAAUGGGAUUCACAGCUUCUGGGGAUUAGGACAUGGACAUCUUGUGGCGGGGGCAUAAUUCUGUCGACGACACCAAGAAACACUUGGAUGUUAAGGAUUCACCGAACACUGUUCAGGCUCCAGGUGCUGGGAGCAGCAGUGAACAAAGCCAACAGACACUGCCACCCUCAAGGAGUUCACGUUCAUGGGCGAGGGAACAGAUGAGAAACCCGGCAAUGAAAGUAAGUAGCAU
RNAcentral lists this long non-coding RNA (2479 nucleotides) under Homo sapiens (human). RNAcentral describes it as "non-protein coding SLC25A25-AS1:5". Lineage: Eukaryota; Metazoa; Chordata; Mammalia; Primates; Hominidae. The record is from RNAcentral.